Molecule: long non-coding RNA, 725 nt
Filed under: Hordeum vulgare
Lineage: Eukaryota; Viridiplantae; Streptophyta; Magnoliopsida; Poales; Poaceae
Description: long non-coding RNA (HVUL_LNC019442)
Source: RNAcentral
UUCGAGCAUACACUAUUCAAUCUUCUCCAGCACGAUACUCUUGAUUGCUUCCAGCACAAGCUAUCAUCUUCGUUAGUAGGGAACUACAAACAGUAACAUGAUUGGUACAAGGUAUUACAUAGUCAGUUGGCAGUGCAUCUCAAGAACCUGUUCCACAAUAGUUUGGUCAGAAGCAAGAAUCGGCCAGGACAUAAGUCAGCCUAGGGAACAAAAUGGUUAGCUACACAUACUUACAUAUAUUGUGGGCAUGCUCCCUAGGUCAUGCAAGCCACCCGUACGAUGACGCAAGCGCAUUGAGAAUCCGAUAGCUACAUGAGUUAUGGAAGCCAGUUAUACACCUCGGUAUGAUGCAAGAUUGACAAGCUAUGAAGAAAGGUCACAUUGGGACACCAAUCUUGUCAGUAGUUAUCAAGGCCAGCUAAACAUAUUGACUUCAGUGACCGUGUUGAAGCAUCACACGACCUACUACCCACAUAUGGGUAUACCGGCAGAAUGGGUACCCGACGGGAUGAUAACCUGCCAUGGACUAGAUUAUUUUGAGCUCGUUGUUCAUGAUUUGAGCUUGUUGUUCAUCCCGUCGGACACCUGGAUGGUUUAUCCAAACGGGUUGAAACUUUUUGUCUAGUGGGAAUCUUUGUGAAGGAAGUACCAUCCAGGUGUAUCCAAACGGGUUGAAACUUUUUGUCCAAAAUAUUCCUCAAUAAUUUUUGUGAGUUUGUGUCCAG